RNAcentral lists this ribosomal RNA (433 nucleotides) under uncultured bacterium. Its description in RNAcentral is "partial 16S ribosomal RNA". It matches the Rfam family "Bacterial small subunit ribosomal RNA", at positions 29 to 507 of the family's 1533-position model. The record is from RNAcentral.
AACGAACGCUGGCGGCAUGCCUAACACAUGCAAGUCGAACGAGACCUUCGAGUCUAGUGGCGCACGGGAGCGUAACGCGUGGGAACCUGCCCUUAGGUUCGGAAUAACUCCCCGAAAGGGGUGCUAAUACCGGAUAAUGUCUUCGGACCAAAGAUUUAUCGCCUUUGGAUGGGCCCGCGUUGGAUUAGCUAGUUGGUAGGGUAAAAGCCUACCAAGGCGACGAUCCAUAGCUGGUCUGAGAGGAUGAUCAGCCACACUGGGACUGAGACACGGCCCAGACUCCUACGGGAAGCAGCAGUGGGGAAUAUUGGACAAUGGGCGAAAGCCUGAUCCAGCAAUGCCGCGUGAGUGAUGAAGGCCUUAGGGUUGUAAAGCUCUUUUACCCGGGAUGAUAAUGACAGUACCGGGAAAAUAAGCUCCGGCUAACUCCGUG